This 479-nucleotide ribosomal RNA is filed under the name uncultured bacterium. RNAcentral describes it as "partial 16S ribosomal RNA". It matches the Rfam family "Bacterial small subunit ribosomal RNA", at positions 28 to 507 of the family's 1533-position model. The record is from RNAcentral.
GAUGAACGCUCGCGGGAGGCCUAACACAUGCAAGCCGAGCGGUAUUGUUUCUUCGGAAAUGCGAGAGCGGCGUACGGGUGCGUAACACGUGUGCAACCUGCCUUUAUCUGGGGGAUAGCCUUUCGAAAGGAAGAUUAAUACUCCAUAAUAUAUUGAACGGCAUCGUUUAAUAUUGAAAGCUCCGGCGGAUAGAGAUGGGCACGCGCAAGAUUAGCUAGUUGGUGAGGUAACGGCUCACCAAGGCGAUGAUCUUUAGGGGGCCUGAGAGGGUGAUCCCCCACACUGGUACUGAGACACGGACCAGAAUCCUACGGGAGGCAGCAGUGAGGAAUAUUGGUCAAUGGGUGCAAGCCUGAACCAGCCAUCCCGCGUGAAGGACGACUGCCCUAUGGGUUGUAAACUUCUUUUGUAUAGGGAUAAACCUACCCUCGAGAGGGUAGCUGAAGGUACUAUACGAAUAAGCACCGGCUAACUCCGUG